This is a long non-coding RNA of Portunus trituberculatus (swimming crab), 861 nucleotides long. RefSeq lists it as uncharacterized. The transcript has 3 exons. NCBI's taxonomy places the organism in Eukaryota, Metazoa, Arthropoda, Malacostraca, Decapoda, Portunidae. The record is from RefSeq and is a predicted model, not a curated record.
CAGACUCACGGUUAUAACUACCAUAACUACCGUGGACGAGUAAAUGUACCAAAUUUAGCUUCAUUGUGGUGUGAAUAAAUACAAGACUGGAGGCGAUUUCUGAGGCUCCGCUCCUCGCUUGAUGGCGGCGGCGGUGGUGGCGAUGGCGAUGGCGGUGGUGGUGGUGUUCUGAAGGUGUUUCCCGCCUCCUCUGUACACUCCUGCUUGCCUCAACCCAGUCUCCGGAAGCGUCUGGCUGAGCUAUGGCCCCUUGUUUUGGCUGACGGCGGCCCGACCCACGCUCUCCCUCGCAGCGGGUCUCACUCCCUGUUCCGCCGCCGAGGAGCCAGUCAGGUAACGGGCGAUUCUACGGUUCCUGUACACUUCCUGCCUCGCAAUAUCCGGGUACAAAAUCACAGGUACACUAGAGGAGCGUAGCAAGACCCGCCUGUCCCACCACACACUUGAGGCACAAAAAAAGCCCUGCAAGACCACCACCUCCACCACCACCACAUGUAAACAGACCACUGACGCACCAAGUGGGGAGGCUGACAAAACAUUCCGCGCAAGCUCUCCAAACACUGUAUCAUAACCUACUAAUUGCCAGCUGCGGGGGAACAGUGCGGAACUCAAGCAAAAGAAGAGUGUCUUCCUAUUGUCCCGAUGGGUUAAGGGAAGCUGUUUCAUCGCAUCCAAGAUCUGGCCUGAGCAGUCAAUUCAGAGCUACGAGGUAUAUCGGCUUUGAGUACCGUGAUUGCUUCAUGAAGUGGCGAAGGAAGAUGGAACGCUGCAAACAGGCAAGAGGAGGGGAGUACUUUGAAGGAAUGUAAGCUACUAUUUAGAUCUACGUCUGUACUGUGAAAAUAUAUGGUCUCACUGUCA